Molecule: ribosomal RNA, 373 nt
Filed under: uncultured bacterium
Lineage: Bacteria
Description: bacterial SSU rRNA
Rfam family: Bacterial small subunit ribosomal RNA
Source: RNAcentral
GUAGGGGGCGAGCGUUGUCCGGAUUUAUUGGGCGUAAAGAGCGUGUAGGCGGCCAAGCAGGUCCGCUGUGAAAACUCGAGGCUUAACCUCGAGACGUCGGUGGAAACCGUUUGGCUAGAGUCCGGAAGAGGAGAGUGGAAUUCCCGGUGUAGCGGUGAAAUGCGCAGAUAUCGGGAAGAACACCCGUGGCGAAGGCGGCUCUCUGGGACGGUACUGACGCUGAGACGCGAAAGCGUGGGGAGCGAACAGGAUUAGAUACCCUGGUAGUCCACGCCGUAAACGAUGGGUGCUAGGUGUGGGCGGUGUCGACUCCGUCCGUGCCGAAGCUAACGCAUUAAGCACCCCGCCUGGGGAGUACGGCCGCAAGGCUAAA